RNAcentral lists this long non-coding RNA (4411 nucleotides) under Ananas comosus (pineapple). Its description in RNAcentral is "long non-coding RNA (ACOM_LNC041744)". Lineage: Eukaryota; Viridiplantae; Streptophyta; Magnoliopsida; Poales; Bromeliaceae. The record is from RNAcentral.
GUCGACUUUGCUUUUGCAGUUAUAGUUUAAAAUAGAACAGUUAUAGAGCUAGCAGGUAUAGCUGUAGUGUUAAAGGGCACACCCAUAUACCUGCCAUACCUAUAUGUCUAUUUUUAUAUGGUAGACUUUACUUUUGCAGCUAUAGCUUAAAAUGAAACAGUUAUAAUGCUCUCCGGUAUAUCUGGAGUGUUAAAGGGUACACUCAUAUACUUGCCACAUCUAUAUGAACAGUUCUAUAUGCUAGACUUUACUUUUGCAAUUAUAGUUUUGAAUGUAACAGUGAUAAGCAAGUGUUGUACAUCUAAAGCGAUAUAGGGAACACCCAUAGAUCCGUGAAUGAAAUGUCCCCACUUGUUGGGUGCGACCUGUUUUACCUAUUUGAGUCUUCUGGCAGGUAAGGCACAAUAUAGAAACAUCUAUAAAUAAGAUUAUAUAUUUGCCUUAUAGAAAAUUCUUUUACUCCACAUUUUAUUUUCAUAGAUCUCAAUUAUUUCGUUAUCUCUUAGUAGUUUUCAUAUUUACCACUAAUUCCUCUCGUCCCAACAACACUUACUGCUUCAUUCCCUGUAUUCUUGACAAUUUAGAUACUGAUAACUUAUUGAAUAGUGCAGCAUGGGUGUUCGUCGCUGCCUAUGAAAUUGAUAACGAUUGCUCACAGAUUGCUGUAGCUAGUCUGCUUGUACAACGGAUAGGUAGCCAACCCUCAGAUCUACAAUUUGCAGAAGGUGGUGCAGGAAGUUAUAUCGUUUUCGUUCCUAUUGAGAAAAGUCGUCAGAAAGCUAUUUGUCUUUUCCCAAUAAGGAAUGAUAUAUUAACGAUCACAGUCACUCCAUUGGGAAGCCAGCCAUCAUACAGCCACACAAACAUUUUAGUACUUUGUAUGGAUUCGCCAACGAAAUUUACCGCUCUAUUGCCAUCAGUAUCAAGAGUUAACAACUAUUAUUUCGAACUUUGGCAGAUACAUAUGGACCGAUAAGCGCAGCCGUCUUGGUAAAAAUCUAAACUACUAUCGUCUCUUAAUAAAAUGUAUUACUCCUCGCAUCAUACCAAAAUAUAUUAUACUCUAUUUAGGGAAUAGAAAAUGGACAAUUUUUGUUAAGAUUGAGUCAUGGGAAUCUUUCCCUCCAACUGAAAGCCCAUGAUGUACUGUAUAUUGUACCACCUGCAUCGCAUAUUUUAUGACAAGUUUUAAUCUAAUAUUAAGUUUGGCUCAUUGUUUUCAAAUAUAUAGUUUUAAUCUUGUAUAUUAUGUUUUGUCAACCAUAGUUAAAAAUGCACUGGGUUUGACUGUUCCCGUGCCGCUUUGGCAGUGCCGAAAUAUUGUACAGGUGUUUCAAGAUACAUUUAUCACUGUACAAUAUAUCAGUUUAAGUGUUCAUCAUAUAGAUCGGUUCAAAUAUACUGUACUUCCAAAGUUAUCAAUCUGAAAUUAAAUCAAAAAGCAUACUUUUAUUUUAUAGAGGUCGCAAGUACAUCUAUAGUUUUAAAGGUCACACCCAUAUACCUGCUAUAUCUAUAUGUCCACUUCUAUAUGGUAGGCUUUACUUUUAUAGGUAUAACUUAAAAUGAAACAGUUAUACUGCUUCCCGGUACAUCUGUAGUGUUAAAGGGUACACCUAUAUACCUGCGACACCUAUAUGUCCACUUCUAUAUAGUAGGCUUUGAUUUUGGUGCUAUCCCUUAAAAUAGAAUAGUUGUAUAGAUGGAUCAUCUAUAUGUCUACAACUAAGGAACUUUUACUUGUGCCCUACAUCAGUUCAAGUGGUAACAUAAUUUUAUCAAAUUUUUGUCAUACCAAAUUUAUACAUUUGAACCUAAAUCAUAAUAAACAUUCAUUGUAAACAUUUACAAAUGCAAACUUGAAUGCACCCUUAAUGCAUCAUAAAGAGAAACUUCAAUAAUCAUAAUGCUGCUAAAGUGCACCGUAAUUACAGAUGGACAUACAAUGAACUUGCGAAACUAAUUCGAAUAUGGAUAAUAACUCAUAUAAGAUAUAAUUUGAGAAAAAGAUAUCACAAUAGAUGAACACAUUACAUCAAUGAACACAUUACAUCACGGUUAUGAUUAAACAGAAUACAAGAUAACAAAUAUGUCAGGGCAACUCGACAAUAUCCAAUCAGCUCAAUCUUUACAAAGUCUACCACGACAACAUCCAAGCAACUCGCGAACAUCUUUACAAAGUUUACCACGAACUAUAUAUCUUAGACUACACGUGAUUACAUAGCAUAAUACAGUUCAAUACAGUCACAAGCAACUCGACAACAUCCAAGCAACUCGCGAAUAUCUUUACAAAGUCUAUCACGAAAUAUAUAUCUCAGAUUUUACGUGAUUACACAGUAUAAUAUAGUUCAAUACAGUCACAACUGCACAAUCAUAUAACAUUCAAACAUCAUUUUUUGGGACAGCGGACUCAAUCAUAGAAUUAUAAGUCACACAGUAUGAAUCCUUUAAUAUCGCACUGACCAUAUGUGCACAGAAACAGUGGGGGUCAUUCUCAUACAAUAGUAGAUCGGGGAGGCCGUUUCUUACGAGUCGUUCGACAAAAAGGCAUGUGUACAUGCCACUUUGGAAGAUGUGCUCAAAAUAGGACGAAAACCGCUUCGCAUGUCCAAGAAAAAAAAAAGGUAAAUAAAUUAAAACGAGUGGAUAGUAGAUGUUACUGCCGAGUGAAUAAAUAACUAAAACACUUUGUCUACUGUCAAGAAUAAAUUAAUGUCAGCAGUUGUGCCGCGUCCUUUGCCCCACUGUGAUUCCAUAAUGAAUUCCAACUCUCAAAACACCCUUCCUUCAAAUCAAUUAAUAGUAAAUGCCAAUGCCAAUUACUAUGCAAAGGAAUAAGUACAAAUCUAUUCUUGCUGCAGAUAUGUGUAUUUAUUUUUUCCAGAAAGUGCCGUAUAGAUGCGCAUCCAAAAGUCACAUCUCUGACAAAAUCAGCUGUUAGUGGCUCAUCUUCUCCAAUUCCCUGUAUCUUAUUGAGUACGUCCAUCUGCAUAGAGAAAGAAAUCAAGUUAGCAAGAUGCCUUACGAAAAGUUGCGGGAAACUCAAAUGCAAGUAUUUGGAUGGUUAACAUUUUCACAGAUUAUGGAACAGGACCUAAUAAAUAUUAUUCAACAAAUUGGAAUUCGGACUUCAACAGAUUUUAUCUUCUAUUUUAACUCACUUUUAUAUUUCUUUUAGUUCGCUUGAUACAGAAAUAGAGAACAAGAGAGAAAUAGAGAACAACUAAUCUAAUAAUGAAAGUAUCAAACUCACCGCAACUUCAUUUCGGCAGGAAAUACCAGGUUGACUAAAUUUAUGUAUAUCCAUACAAUCUAGCUUAUCAAUUAUGGAAAUAUACAUUAAUCACCUAAAUAAGAAAGUCAGCAAAAUAAAAAGAAUUAGAAUAAUAUAUGGAUAGUCCAUAUNUACCUCCAAUAUUCAAUACGAAUGUACAGCCAUUUUUAAACACUUAAAAGUAUUAAAUUUAAUUGGGAAGUAAGUGUUUUACCAUUGUAUGUUUUCUUAAAGAAUGUACCUAAUUCAACACUACAACUAUAUUGUCAGAAGGAGUGACAGUUAUAGGGGCGGUAAGGUGCAUCUGUAUUGUUGAGGGGCACACCUAUAUACUUGUCACUUUCAUACGGUAGGGUUUGCUUUUGCACAUCAUAGUAUAAAAUAAAAUAUUUAUAGUAGUGCCACGAUACAUCUGCAGUGCCUACUUUUAUAGAGUAGACAUUAUUUUUACAGUUAUAACUUAAAAUAGAACAGUUAUAGAGGUCGAAGGUACAACUGUAGUGUCAGAGAGCACAACCAUAUACCUGCCACUUUCAUAGGGUAGGAUUUGCUUUCGCAAAUUAAAGUAUAAAAUGGAAUAUUUAUAAUAGUGUCAAGAUACAUCUGCAGUGCCUAUUUUUAUAGAGUAGACUUUGCUUUUGCAGUUAUAACUUAAAAUAGAACAGUUAUACAGGUCGCAUGUACAGUUGUAGUGUUAAAGGGCACACCCAUAUAUUUGCCACAUAUAUAUGUCCACUUUUGUAUGGUAGACUUUACUUUUGCUGUUAUAACUUAAAAUAGAACAGCUAUAGAUGUAGCAGAUACAUCUAUAGUGUUAAUAGGCACAGCCAUAUACUUGCCAUUUUCAAACGGUAGGGAUUGCUUUUGCAUCUUACUGUAUAAAAUGAAAUAUUUAUAGUAGUGCCAAGGUAUAUCUGCAGUGCCCACUUUUAUAGAGUCGACUUUGCUUUUGCAGUUAUAGUUUAAAAUAGAACAGUUAUAAAGCUAGCAGGUAUAGUUGUAGUGUUAAAGGGCACACCCAUAUAUCUGCCAUACCUAUAUGUCUAUUUUUAUAUGGUAGACUUUACUUUUGCAGCUAUAGCUUAAAAUGAAACAGUUAUAAUGCUCUCCGGUAUAUCUGGAGUGUUAAAUGGUACA